Molecule: non-coding RNA, 352 nt
Organism: Vicugna pacos (alpaca)
Lineage: Eukaryota; Metazoa; Chordata; Mammalia; Artiodactyla; Camelidae
Source: RefSeq, a predicted model, not a curated record
UGCUCUUCAGAUCUGAAAAAUAAUGCAACUGGAUUAGAAAAUUUCUGAUCUCUCCUUGGUUUAAGAGAAACUGAAGACCCUAGACCAGUGUUUGAGUGUUGAAAGCAAGUUUUGUGGCCGAAGGGGAACCCAACACUGGGCAGACAGCAGGCUCCGAGGGACACAGCUCAGUCGAGGGGACAGACAGGUAUUCAAGAGCUGAAAACCACUGUGGUGUUAGUCAAGGACCUACAGAGAAACAGACCCCACCUGCUGUAUAUAUAUGUAUAUAUAGGUAUACAGAGAGAAGAAUUUAUUUAAGGAGUUGACGCGCAUGCUUGUGGGGGCUGGCAAAUCCAAAUUCUGCAGGACA